UCAGACGAUGCGUCAUGCAUAUCAAUAAGCGGAGGAAAAGAAACUAACAAGGAUUCCCUCAGUAACGGCGAGUGAAGCGGGAAGAGCUCAAAUUUGAAAUCUUGAAAGGUCACCUUUCACGAAUUGUAGUUUAAAGAAGUGUUUUCUGUUACGAUCGUAAUAUAAGUUCUUUGGAAUAGGACAUCACAGAGGGUGAGAAUCCCGUCUAUGAUUGCGAUUUGUAGCUUUGUGAUACACUUUCAAAGAGUCGGGUUGUUUGGGAAUGCAGCCCAAAACGGGAGGUAAAUUUCUUCUAAGGCUAAAUAUUGGCGAGAGACCGAUAGCGAACAAGUACCGUGAGGGAAAGAUGAAAAGAACUUUGAAAAGAGAGUUAAAUAGUACGUGAAAUUGUCAAAAGGGAAGCGUUUAAUACCAGUGUUGUUUUCUGAAAAUCAACCUCUGUUAGCUUUAUGCAUGUUUGUUUAGACCUAAUCAGCUAUCUUGCAUGUUCUAUUGUUUGCAGUGGUGCACUUUCAGUUUACAGGUCAACAUCAGUUUUUUUUACCGUAAAAAAGUUAAAGAAAGGUAGCUCAUGGCUCCGGUCGUGAGUGUUAUAGUCUUUUUCCUAUGCGGUAGGAGAGACUGAGGUCUGCAGUGUAGGCUAUUUGGCUAGAUACUCAGGUGCUAUGUGAUACCAUUUCAUAAACAACUUGUUGAUUAUGUUUUGUCUAUUGCAUACUCGCUUGUACUAUCAUACCUACGCUUAGGAUGUUGAAGACUCUACAGAGAUA
RNAcentral lists this ribosomal RNA (770 nucleotides) under uncultured Neocallimastigales. RNAcentral's name for it is "partial large subunit ribosomal RNA". It matches the Rfam family "Eukaryotic large subunit ribosomal RNA", at positions 18 to 639 of the family's 3401-position model. The record is from RNAcentral. Lineage: Eukaryota; Fungi; Neocallimastigomycota; Neocallimastigomycetes; Neocallimastigales.